RNAcentral lists this long non-coding RNA (1184 nucleotides) under Brachypodium distachyon (stiff brome). RNAcentral's name for it is "long non-coding RNA (BDIS_LNC001716)". The record is from RNAcentral. Lineage: Eukaryota; Viridiplantae; Streptophyta; Magnoliopsida; Poales; Poaceae.
CUGCCCCUUAACCGAUAUCUUUCCCAAAUCUGGUCAUCUUCCCAUUCCCCCUCAAACAAUCACAGCAGCUAACGCUAACCUCUUUGACAUGCAUGAAUUGUUCAAAAGACAAAGCAUCAAUUGAGAAUUCUAGCACUGUCAAACUCAGAUCCAACAGGGAAAUGGUAUCACCUGCCUAUUGUAGAAUGACACAGCCUUAGUAGAAAUUAAGGAUAAACAAGCUCCAACACUAGCACAGAUGUAAACAAACUGAGAGCAGAAGCCCCCUCGGGAGCUCAUGCCGAACAGCCAUCGCCGGAAGGGGUGGCAUGGUGCCGCUGCUGUCUCAUCCUCGUGCAUCCACCACCGACCCACUGCCAGCCAUCAUCAUCUCCCACGCGUCGCGACCGGCACCCGACCAAGGCCAAACCGUCGAACAGUUGACGUGCGUGGCGGUGCUGGUGGAACGGGGUUGAAGGCGGCAACCGGAUACAGGGGCCCACCGCUGCGGAGGACGUCGGAGAGGAACGCCCUGAGUCGCCGCCGCCAAAGCCGGGGCUGGGCUGCAUUCACCGGAGUUCCUAGGUGGAGGGGUGGAAGGGACCAGAUGGGGAGGCCAUCGGGCUAGGGAAUGAGCUAGAGAGGAAAGGAAUGAGAUGGAGGGGGGAGGAGAGGUGGCCGCCGGGGCAGAGAGGCUACCGGAGAGGGUGGACGCCGGCGCCGGAGUGGCGGCGGUGGCGGGGAACCCUAGCCUGUCGCAAGAGCGGACCCGUGCCUACUUCCCUUAUCAGGCGAGCCUCGUCUCUCGAUACAGAUGGAACUUGGAAGGCAUAGAGCCUACCUGCCACUGGCCCUCUAAUGGCUCAUCCUACGCCUGAUAUUAAUUGUGUUGAGAGAGGACCUUGAUGAGAGGCAAAGGCGCUAAGCAUUAUGAACAUGAUAAAUUAUUUGGCAUGCAGAAACUGCAAAUAUAUUGCAGUGCACUUUGGCUGGACCUGGAUUGAGUACAAUCAUAGCUGGAAAACGAUCAUCUAGCAUUACUCCAAAGUCUACUACGUAGUAAACCUGCAAUCCCUGAAUACCAAGCCCAGAACUGCUAUAGAGCUUACUGCUGAUUAAUGAAAAUAGAACCUGCGCUCUAGCAAUCUGACAAUAACACAAGAACAAUAGGAUGGAACUAAUAAAAGGCAAAACUUAAUUCUAAC